This 774-nucleotide long non-coding RNA is filed under the name Fukomys damarensis (Damara mole-rat). Its description in RNAcentral is "lncRNA (ENSFDAG00000023348.1)". Lineage: Eukaryota; Metazoa; Chordata; Mammalia; Rodentia; Bathyergidae. The record is from RNAcentral.
CUCCUUUAAUUAAUAUUUUCUGGCACAGGUAGGCCUGGAUAAAAAUUCUGUAAGACUCUUAGUUGAUAUCAAAUUACAUCAUUUCCUUUGUCAGUAAGUUUGGCAAGCUCUACAUUACUGAUAUUUUCCUGUGUCAGCAGGAAAAGAUUACAAAUCCACAUUUUAAGUGUGAGAUUGUCUUGAAAAAAACUGGUCUUCAAAAUCGUCCUACAGAAUUUCUAGGCAGCAACCAUUUCUGCUGUAGAGACAUUGAGAGGUGUUGCCUCUCUAGACUGCUGGCAGCAGGAGCAAUGCCUUCAGCUUUGAAAGCUUAGAUAGCUGUCCAACUACAUUCUCUCUUCUUUUGCAAGAUAGUAUCUUGGCUAAAAGAGUUCCUAGUUUGUUUGUUUUGUGUUGUUUUGUUUGUUGCUUUUUUUUCCACAGCAGUAUCCAUUGUUUUGAUUAGAAAGUCUGAAAGAGAAAUCCAGGGAUGAAUUUCUGUCUUCACAAAUCAUGGUAAAUCCAUUUCUUCACAAAAACAUCUUUAAAGAGAACGACGCAAGACUGUGGAAUGGGCUCUCAGAAGACAACCAUGAGCUAAAGCAGAAACAGACUCUCCUCACCAUGUGCCUCUUCCUUGAGAAUUCUAGUGAAGGAGAUUUGUUUUAACUCAACUGCAUAUUGGUUCACAUAUUUGUGGGUGAAUCACGCAGCCUUGAUGGGUCAACAAUAAGGCAUAUCCUCAUGUGCAUCAGAGAACAUCUCCCGGAGGCUUUCCAACUGUAUUAACCAGCC